This 499-nucleotide ribosomal RNA is filed under the name uncultured bacterium. RNAcentral's name for it is "partial 16S ribosomal RNA". It matches the Rfam family "Bacterial small subunit ribosomal RNA", at positions 28 to 507 of the family's 1533-position model. The record is from RNAcentral.
GACGAACGCUGGCGGCGUGCCUAAUACAUGCAAGUCGAGCGAAGUUUUUCUGGUGCUUGCACUAGAAAAACUUAGCGGCGAACGGGUGAGUAACACGUAAAGAACCUGCCUCAUAGACUGGGACAACUAUUGGAAACGAUAGCUAAUACCGGAUAACAGUAUUUCUCGCAUGAGAGAUAUUUAAAAGUUGGUUAUGCUAACACUAUGAGAUGGCUUUGCGGUGCAUUAGCUAGUUGGUGGGGUAAAGGCCCACCAAGGCGACGAUGCAUAGCCGACCUGAGAGGGUGAUCGGCCACACUGGGACUGAGACACGGCCCAGACUCCUACGGGAGGCAGCAGUAGGGAAUCUUCCGCAAUGGGCGAAAGCCUGACGGAGCAACGCCGCGUGAGUGAAGAAGGAUUUCGGUUCGUAAAGCUCUGUUGUUAGGGAUGAAUGGAUAUGUAGUAACUAUACAUGUAAGAGACGGUACCUAACCAGAAAGCCACGGCUAACUACGUG